GCGCCUGUAGCUCAGCAGGAUAGAGCAACGGAUUCCUAAUCCGUAGGGCGGACGUUCGAAUCGUCUCAGGCGCACCA
This 77-nucleotide transfer RNA is filed under the name candidate division BRC1 bacterium ADurb.Bin183. RNAcentral's name for it is "tRNA-Arg". It matches the Rfam family "tRNA". From Rfam's summary of the family: Transfer RNA (tRNA) molecules are approximately 80 nucleotides in length. Their secondary structure includes four short double-helical elements and three loops (D, anti-codon, and T loops). Further hydrogen bonds mediate the characteristic L-shaped molecular structure. tRNAs have two regions of fundamental functional importance: the anti-codon, which is responsible for specific mRNA codon recognition, and the 3' end, to which the tRNAs corresponding amino acid is attached (by aminoacyl-tRNA synthetases). tRNAs cope with the degeneracy of the genetic code in two manners: having more than one tRNA (with a specific anti-codon) for a particular amino acid; and 'wobble' base-pairing, i.e. permitting non-standard base-pairing at the 3rd anti-codon position. RNAcentral also lists the same sequence under 1 other name. Lineage: Bacteria; Candidatus Sumerlaeota. The record is from RNAcentral.